RNAcentral lists this small nuclear RNA (128 nucleotides) under Neogale vison (American mink). Its description in RNAcentral is "Neovison vison (American mink) U4 spliceosomal RNA (ENSNVIG00000021469.1)". It matches the Rfam family "U4 spliceosomal RNA". Rfam says of the family: U4 small nuclear RNA (U4 snRNA) is a component of the major U2-dependent spliceosome. The structure of U4 snRNA from yeast and human has been reported. U4 snRNA presents a k-turn RNA motif in the 5p-SL related to recognition of Snu13 protein. Lineage: Eukaryota; Metazoa; Chordata; Mammalia; Carnivora; Mustelidae. The record is from Rfam by way of RNAcentral.
AGCUUUGCGCAGUGGCAGUAUCGUAGCCAAUGAGGUUUAUCCGAGGCGCGAUUAUUGCUAAUUAAAAAUUACCUACACUAAAACAUCACUAAACAUCUAGAUGAAAUGUUUAGAUGUUAUUUACUUGG